GACGAACGCUGGCGGCGUGCUUAACACAUGCAAGUCGAACGGAAAGGCCCUGCUUUUGUGGGGUGCUCGAGUGGCGAACGGGUGAGUAACACGUGAGUAACCUGCCCUUGACUUUGGGAUAACUUAAGGAAACUGGGGCUAAUACCGGAUAGGAGAUCCUGCUGCAUGGUGGGGGUUGGAAAGUUUCGGCGGUUGGGGAUGGACUGGCGGCUUAUCAGCUUGUUGGUGGGGUAGUGGCUUACCAAGGCUUUGACGGGUAGCCGGCCUGAGAGGGUGACCGGGCACAAUGGGACUGAGGUACGGCCCAGACUCCAACGGGAGGCAGCGGUGGGGAAUAUGGCACAGUGGGCGGGAGCGUGAUGCAGCGACGCCGCGUGCGGAAUGACGGCCUUCGGGUUGUGAACCGCUUUCGCCUGUGACGAAGCGUGAGUGACGGUAAUGAGUAAAGAGGCACCGGCUAACUACGUG
This 468-nucleotide ribosomal RNA is filed under the name uncultured bacterium. Its description in RNAcentral is "partial 16S ribosomal RNA". It matches the Rfam family "Bacterial small subunit ribosomal RNA", at positions 28 to 507 of the family's 1533-position model. The record is from RNAcentral.